This is a non-coding RNA of Schistosoma margrebowiei, 46 nucleotides long. The record is from Rfam. NCBI's taxonomy places the organism in Eukaryota, Metazoa, Platyhelminthes, Trematoda, Strigeidida, Schistosomatidae.
GUAAAGACCCUAUUCAGGGCCACACACAAUUUAAUUUAAAUCCUUU